AUGGCUGUUGAGCUGAAAGAUGCCGUCGACCGUUAUGAGCUUCUUGAAAAGGAAAGCCAAAUGAAGACGGCGGACCUGGAGAAAGCCACGGUAGCAGCCAAGGAAGCCCGCUCUAAAAUCAGAGCGGAGAAGGAGGAGCUACGUCAAGCCGGAGAUAUCGCGGCUCGGAAGCCCUUUUUGUUACGGACAAAGUUCGGAGAUCCUAAGUAUGCCCUUCUGGAUCAAUUAUGGAGUUCUGCGAACGCGUACCUGGAUUUGGCAGCAAGUGCUGCUGAUGCGACCAAGUUUUUCGAAGAUCAAAAAGAUCACGAAGUGGAAAAGUUGUUCUGGUCGCAGUUUAAUGCUCCGGCGCGUCCGCUGCUGUUAAAUGAGCAAAUGGCCGAGUGGGCCGAGCUCCAUAGGUUGUCCGGUCUUGCCAUGAGGUCUGUUGUGGAUCAUCUUUGGCCGGAAGGACCAAGGCUGAAUAGUUAUUUUGGCUUAGUGCAACGGUUCCUUGGUGCUGUGCCGCAUAUCGACGCUGUGAAGAGGUCGGCGUGCAUAGAGGGUGCGCGGAUGGCUCUUGCCCGUGUGAAGACAUACUGGGCAGAGAUGGAGGCCACCGCUAUUGCAACCCAGAGUUCGGCCGUAGGCCGGAUAUCGGCUGAGAACUAUUUUGAAGAAGUCUUAGAAGGCGCUCGUUUAAUAGAGGCUCAGUGCUCGAAGAGUAUCAUGUUCUAG
This 717-nucleotide ribosomal RNA is filed under the name Triticum aestivum (bread wheat). Its description in RNAcentral is "partial small subunit ribosomal RNA". The record is from RNAcentral. Lineage: Eukaryota; Viridiplantae; Streptophyta; Magnoliopsida; Poales; Poaceae.